CUCGUAGGCGGCCAACUAAGUCAGACGUGAAAUCCCCAGGCUCAACCUGGGAACUGCGUCUGAUACUGGAUGGCUUGAAUUCGGGAGAGGGAUGCAGAAUUCCAGGCGUAGCGGUGAAAUGCGUAGAUAUCUGGAGGAAUACCGGUGGCGAAGGCGGCAUCCUGGACCGACAUUGACGCUGAUGAGCGAAAGCUAGGGGAGCAAACG
This 207-nucleotide ribosomal RNA is filed under the name uncultured bacterium. RNAcentral describes it as "partial 16S ribosomal RNA". It matches the Rfam family "Bacterial small subunit ribosomal RNA", at positions 568 to 774 of the family's 1533-position model. The record is from RNAcentral.